CGGUCAGCUUCGGUAGAAACGUA
Molecule: non-coding RNA, 23 nt
Filed under: Arabidopsis thaliana (thale cress)
Lineage: Eukaryota; Viridiplantae; Streptophyta; Magnoliopsida; Brassicales; Brassicaceae
Source: RNAcentral